CAAUAGCGUAUAUUAAAGUUGUUGCAGUUAAAAAGCUCGUAGUUGGAUUUCUGGUUGAAGCGACCGGUCGGGCGUUGAUUCGUCUGCACUGGAGUCGGUUUUGGCCAUCCUCUAGGAAAGUGCGUCUGGUAUUAAGUUAUCGGGCGUAUGAUCCUGGUCUUUUACUGUGAAAAAAUUAGAGUGUUUAAAGCAGGCCUUCGCCUUGAAUACAUUAGCAUGGAAUAAUAAGAUAGGACUUUGGUCUAUUUUGUUGGUUUGCAGACCGAAGUAAUGAUUAAUAGAGAUAGUUGGGGGUAUUUAUAUUCCGAUGUCAGAGGUGAAAUUCUUAGAUUUUCGGAAGAUAAACUUAUGCGAAAGCAUUUACCAAGGAUGUUUUCAUUAA
RNAcentral lists this ribosomal RNA (382 nucleotides) under uncultured eukaryote. RNAcentral describes it as "partial 18S ribosomal RNA". It matches the Rfam family "Eukaryotic small subunit ribosomal RNA", at positions 592 to 976 of the family's 1831-position model. The record is from RNAcentral.